This 356-nucleotide ribosomal RNA is filed under the name Tetracotyle fausti. RNAcentral describes it as "eukaryotic LSU rRNA". It matches the Rfam family "Eukaryotic large subunit ribosomal RNA", at positions 55 to 389 of the family's 3401-position model. Lineage: Eukaryota; Metazoa; Platyhelminthes; Trematoda; Diplostomida; Diplostomidae. The record is from RNAcentral.
CGAAGAAGAACUAACCAGGAUCCCUUAGUACUGCGAGUGAAGGGGGACAGCCCAGCACCGAAGCCUGUGGCCGUUUGGCUGCUAGGCAAUGUGGUGUUUAGGUCGUCUCUUGGCAUAACUGCUCCAUCCUAAGUCCAGUACUGAGUAUGGCAUCUGGAGUGGCCCAUGGAGGGUGAAAGGCCCGUGGGGGUGGAGAUCAAGUCGGCCAGUUUUGCCCUGAGUAGACCUUGGAGUCGGGUUGUUUGUGAAUGCAGCCCAAAGUGGGUGGUAAACUCCAUCCAAGGCUAAAUACUAGCACGAGUCCGAUAGCGAACAAGUACCGUGAGGGAAAGUUGAAAAGUACUCUGAAGAGACUU